AUUGAACGCUGGCGGCAGGCUUAACACAUGCAAGUCGAGCGGAGUGAUGGUGCUUGCACUAUCACUUAGCGGCGGACGGGUGAGUAAUGCUUAGGAAUCUGCCUAUUAGUGGGGGACAACAUCUCGAAAGGGAUGCUAAUACCGCAUACGUCCUACGGGAGAAAGCAGGGGAUCACUUGUGACCUUGCGCUAAUAGAUGAGCCUAAGUCGGAUUAGCGAGUGGGUGGGGUAAAGGCCUACCAAGGCGACGAUCUGUAGCGGGUCUGAGAGGAUGAUCCGCCACACUGGGACGGAGACACGGCCCAGACUCCUACGGGAGGCAGCAGUGGGGAAUAUUGGACAAUGGGGGGAACCCUGAUCCAGCCAUGCCGCGUGUGUGAAGAAGGCCUUAUGGUUGUAAAGCACUUUAAGCGAGGAGGAGGCUCUUUUGGUUAAUACCCAAGAUGAGUGAACGUUACUCGCAGAAUAAGCACCGGCUAACUCUGUGCCAGCCGCCGCAGUAA
RNAcentral lists this ribosomal RNA (503 nucleotides) under uncultured bacterium. Its description in RNAcentral is "partial 16S ribosomal RNA". It matches the Rfam family "Bacterial small subunit ribosomal RNA", at positions 30 to 523 of the family's 1533-position model. The record is from RNAcentral.